RNAcentral lists this ribosomal RNA (261 nucleotides) under Clostridium sp. NJ4. RNAcentral's name for it is "partial 23S ribosomal RNA". It matches the Rfam family "Bacterial large subunit ribosomal RNA", at positions 554 to 814 of the family's 2925-position model. Lineage: Bacteria; Bacillati; Bacillota; Clostridia; Eubacteriales; Clostridiaceae. The record is from RNAcentral.
AACCGUGUGUCCACAACCGAUCAAAACACGUUAAUGUGUGAUGAUGUGCUUUUUGUAGAACGAGCCAGCGAGUUACGGUAUGCAGCAAGGUUAAGCACUUAAGGUGCGCAGCCGAAGGGAAACCAAGUCUAAAUAGGGCGUAUAGUUGCAUGCUGUAGACCCGAAACCGGGUGACCUAUCCAUGGCCAGGGUGAAGCGGAAGUAAAAUUCCGUGGAGGCCCGAACCACAAUGGUGUUGAAAAACCAUGGGAUGAGCUGUGG